Long non-coding RNA from Paramacrobiotus metropolitanus, 1671 nucleotides. RefSeq lists it as uncharacterized. The record is from RefSeq and is a predicted model, not a curated record. Lineage: Eukaryota; Metazoa; Tardigrada; Eutardigrada; Parachela; Macrobiotidae. The transcript has 3 exons.
UUAGUAUAACCAACUGCAAAUCUGAGAUAAUUCUCUCUUGCGCAGUUAGCAUCGUCAUCGAGUGAUCAGGUGUUUUCAACUGUCCUAUCAAUUGUGCAUAUGCGGAAGUUUGAUUUGUACAGUUGCCGAUAAUACGGCAACGUGUUUCUUUCCAAUCGAUGCAGUCGCCACCAAGAGCAGUUGCUAUUUCGCAGGGCUUAACGUUCAUUUGCAUGCGGCCGCGCAAAAAAAAUUAUGACAUGUCCCGAUCCGUUGACUAUUUGGGGCUGUCAGGAGUGUGAGAGGUCUUGCGGAAACCCCAAACCCGUCGCCGUUAUGCAAUUUUUCUUGGGACUUGAAAAUGGUCUUGCAAACCAGAUACAUACCGCACCUUCCAAUCACCGAAAUGCCGCGCAAUGGGCCUAUCAUCAACAACUGCAUAGUCCUCUCAGCAGGGCGCCAUCCGAGGGAAACUGAGAAACGGCCGGAAAAUGCGCCGAUAAGGGAAUCGAACCUCGGCUACGUCGUAGAUCCGCACCACUUCCCUGCCACGCUUAGCGGUAUGAGCACUCUUCUCUCUCAAACUGGUAUGGCGAAAACAACUUGGAGGAACGAUGGAGAUACGAACAGGAACACAGAAACCAGGAAUGCCUAUCAGGAGCCCUGCGAAACACACGAACGAACGAAGAAUGCCUUACUUCUCACUUCUGGUCUCGGGUAAUACAAGGAUCAGAUAAAGGGGAAGGUCGAUUGUGACGCGAGUAUACUGCGGCUGACUACGCUAUAAUCCGUAACUUGAUUAUGAACGCCAGUCGUAACCUUUAGAAGAUACUGCCCUUUAAUCUAAUGCACAAGUAUUUCCUCAACACAUAGAAGUCAGAAAAGUAAGAAGAUCAGAAACCAAGAGACUAAUUCCUGACCGCUCUUAGAUAAUAGGCAUCACUCGAGCUUAUUUAGACUAGCAGAAGUACACGGCAUACUAGGGACUUAACGUACAACCAAUCACAGGUAGAGAGAUGACUAGAUAAUAACACGGAGACUCGUAUUUACAGGUGAAAGGCGGACAUCUUAGAGGCAUCCGGACGUACGUACGAUGUAGGAUAUCCUCCUCCCCACGUCAAAGUGUUGAAAAUCCUUGAAUGACUUUGUCGCUGUAUAUGAGCCGGUUCUCUCCUCACACCCCCCUUGCAGCUUUCGCUACGUCUUCGUAGCGAGACCAAGCGAUCCUCCACGCGGCUCCUUAUCCGCACUUUCCGAACGGCUUAUUCACCGAAAAUCGGAUUUAGAGGCUAACGCACUGGGCUCAAAGGCGAAGUGGACGUACCGAACCUUGAUCUGCUACCAUCUCAGCAGAGAGCUAUCCGAGGGAAAUUGAGAAACGGCAGAAAAAAUGUGCCGAUAAGGGAAUCGAACCCCGGCUACGUCGUAAGAUCGGCGUAGGCAGUACCAUUGCACCACGGCUCAAAGUGCUGAAAAUCCUUGAAAGACUUUGUCGAUGUAUGUGCGCCGCUUCUCUCCUCAAAGUCACAAGAAAAGGCUAGAUGCUGCCGAUGUUGAAUAGCCGCGGCUACCAAAUGUUUUGCUUUUGUUAAGUUUAGUUGUAAUAAUUCUGGUGAUGACAUUAUACUUCCAUAAAUGCGUAUUUGUACGUGAUUCGGUGCAAAUAAACGUACACGGCCUCCAGACGUUCGU